RNAcentral lists this unclassified non-coding RNA (202 nucleotides) under Hevea brasiliensis (rubber tree). The record is from RNAcentral. Lineage: Eukaryota; Viridiplantae; Streptophyta; Magnoliopsida; Malpighiales; Euphorbiaceae.
AAUGCAAUCAAGAUGAAAUUGAUGGCCACAUUGAAGCUUAGCCCAAGAUCUAUCCCCAGAAUCUGCAACAACAUCAAGACAGAUCGAGCAGGGGACAGAACCAAAAGAUUUUCCACCACCGGCACCACAUCCUCCGUCGCCAUAAUCGCCAUCUUCAGCCACCGCAUCGUCGUCGUUACCCAACCCCAUGUAAGAAAUAUCA